Molecule: ribosomal RNA, 394 nt
Filed under: uncultured bacterium
Lineage: Bacteria
Description: partial 16S ribosomal RNA
Rfam family: Bacterial small subunit ribosomal RNA
Source: RNAcentral
AUACGUAGGGGACGAGCGUUGUCCGGAAUUACUGGGCGUAAAGGGCGCGCAGGCGGAUAUUUAAGUCAGCUGUAAAAGGCAUGAGCUCAACUCAUGUAUGCGGUUGAAACUGGGUAUCUAGAGUGCUGGAGAGGUAGGCGGAAUUCCCGGUGUAGCGGUGAAAUGCGUAGAUAUCGGGAAGAAUACCAGUGGCGAAGGCGGUUUGCUGGCUGCAUACUGACGCUGAAGCGCGAAAGCCAGGGGAGCGAACGGGAUUAGAUACCCCGGUAGUCCUGGCAGUAAACGAUGUGUGCUGGGUGUGAGACUAGCGAUAGUUUCGUGCCGAAGUUAACGCGAUAAGCAUACCGCCUGGGGAGUACGGUCGCAAGAUUGAAACUCAAAGGAAUUGACGGGG